Molecule: ribosomal RNA, 484 nt
Filed under: uncultured bacterium
Lineage: Bacteria
Description: partial 16S ribosomal RNA
Rfam family: Bacterial small subunit ribosomal RNA
Source: RNAcentral
AUUGAACGCUGGCGGCAGGCCUAACACAUGCAGGUCGAGCGGAUGAAGGGAGCUUGCUCCUGGAUUCAGCGGCGGACGGGUGAGUAAUGCCUAGGAAUCUGCCUGGUAGUGGGGGAUAACGUCCGGAAACGGGCGCUAAUACCGCAUACGUCCUGAGGGAGAAAGGGGGGGAUCUUCGGACCUCACGCUAUCAGAUGAGCCUAGGUCGGAUUAGCUAGUUGGUGGGGUAAAGGCCUACCAAGGCGACGAUCCGUAACUGGUCUGAGAGGAUGAUCAGUCACACUGGAACUGAGACACGGUCCAGACUCCUACGGGAGGCAGCAGUGGGGAAUAUUGGACAAUGGGCGAAAGCCUGAUCCAGCCAUGCCGCGUGUGUGAAGAAGGUCUUCGGAUUGUAAAGCACUUUAAGUUGGGAGGAAGGGCAGUAAGUUAAUACCUUGCUGUUUUGACGUUACCAACAGAAUAAGCACCGGCUAACUUCGUG